Molecule: transfer RNA, 684 nt
Filed under: Sherwoodiella mauiensis HA4860-CV1
Lineage: Bacteria; Bacillati; Cyanobacteriota; Cyanophyceae; Nostocales; Calotrichaceae
Description: 16S-23S ribosomal RNA intergenic spacer
Rfam family: tRNA (bases 304-376)
Source: RNAcentral
UUUAGGGAGACCUACCCACUUGUUGAUUGAGAGGUUUCAGUCAUGAAUGCUAUCAUCGCAAGCUGGUCAUCCUAGGUCGUGCAUAGGGGAAUAGUUCAACAAGCUUUCAAACUAUAUUUAGGUUCGUAACUUCAGGCGUAGGGGCUAUUAGCUCAGGUGGUUAGAGCGCACCCCUGAUAAGGGUGAGGUCCCUGGUUCGAGUCCAGGAUGGCCCACCUGAAAAAAGAGCAUUGAUGUUCAAACAUUGAAUAAUCCGAAAAUCUUAAUCUGAAUUUUAGAUAGAUUGAGAUAGAUUAUUUAAGGGGGGGUUUAGCUCAGUUGGUAGAGCGCCUGCUUUGCAAGCAGGAUGUCAGCGGUUCGAGUCCGCUAACCUCCACAUUUGUUGAUUAGUCGAAAACUCAGAAAGUGAGACCAGGAACAGUUCUGGUUUAAUUUUUUGUUUCUUUGAUUGAUUAGCGUAAUAUGUAAGAUUGACUUGAGUACGACCUAGCACUGGUACAAAAGAAGUUACUAAUGUAUCAACUGCUGAGUGAAAGCUCAGUAAAAGAACCUUGAAAAUUGGAUAGAGAAAAGGCAGUACGACAGACAAAGACUAUGUUCUGAGUUUGGGGAUGUGAUGUUGAAAGAUGUUGCGUUCUAGAGCGAAGAAAGAAGUCGAGUUUGUAUAUGUUAUGUAGAGAAAGU